UACGUAGGGCGCAAGCGUUGUCCGGAAUUAUUGGGCGUAAAGAGCUCGUAGGCGGUUUGUCGCGUCUGCUGUGAAAACCUAAGGCUCAACCUUGGGCUUGCAGUGGGUACGGGCAGACUAGAGUGCGGUAGGGGAGACUGGAAUUCCUGGUGUAGCGGUGAAAUGCGCAGAUAUCAGGAGGAACACCGGUGGCGAAGGCGGGUCUCUGGGCCGUAACUGACGCUGAGGAGCGAAAGCAUGGGGAGCGAACAGG
RNAcentral lists this ribosomal RNA (253 nucleotides) under uncultured bacterium. Its description in RNAcentral is "partial 16S ribosomal RNA". It matches the Rfam family "Bacterial small subunit ribosomal RNA", at positions 524 to 776 of the family's 1533-position model. The record is from RNAcentral.